GGAUUGUGGCUCAGCGGUAGAGCACUCGCCUAGCAGGAACAAGGCCCUGAGUUCGAUCCUCAGCACCA
Molecule: transfer RNA, 68 nt
Filed under: Marmota monax (woodchuck)
Lineage: Eukaryota; Metazoa; Chordata; Mammalia; Rodentia; Sciuridae
Description: tRNA.Ala
Source: RNAcentral